RNAcentral lists this ribosomal RNA (261 nucleotides) under uncultured archaeon. Its description in RNAcentral is "partial 16S ribosomal RNA". It matches the Rfam family "Archaeal small subunit ribosomal RNA", at positions 748 to 1008 of the family's 1478-position model. The record is from RNAcentral.
CAGCCGUAAACAAUGUGCGUUAGGUAUGUCGGUAACCACGUGUUACUGAUGUGCCGAAGAGAAAUCGUGAAACGCACCACCUGGGAAGUACGGUCGCAAGGCUGAAACUUAAAGGAAUUGGCGGGGGAGCACCGCAACGGGAGGAGCGUGCGGUUUAAUUGGAUUCGACACCGUAAAACUCACCAGGGAAGACUGUUACAUGAAAGCCGAGUUGAAGACUCUGCUAGAUUUUCAGAGAGGAGGUGCAUGGCGUCAGUGACU